GAUGAACGCUGGCGGCGUGCCUAAUACAUGCAAGUCGAGCGAACGGACGAGAAGCUUGCUUCUCUGAUGUUAGCGGCGGACGGGUGAGUAACACGUGGAUAACCUACCUAUAAGCCUGGGGAAAAUCGGGGAAACCGGACGCAAAUCCGGAAAAAAUUUUAAUCUCAUGGGUCAAAAAGUUAAAAGGGGCUUUGGCGUCACUUAGAGAUGGAUCCGCGCUGCAUUAGUUAGUUGGUAAGGUAACGGCUUACCAAGGCAACGAUGCAUAGCCGACCUGAGAGGGUGAUCGGCCACACUGGAACUGAGACACGGUCCAGACUCCUACGGGAGGCAGCAGUAGGGAAUCUUCCGCAAUGGGCGAAAGCCUGACGGAGCAACGCCGCGUGAGUGAUGAAGGUCUUCGGAUCGUAAAACUCUGUUAUUAGGGAAGAACAUAUGUGUAAGUAAAUGUGCACAUCUUGACGGUACCUAAUCAGAAAGCCACGGCUAAAUACGUG
RNAcentral lists this ribosomal RNA (497 nucleotides) under uncultured bacterium. RNAcentral describes it as "partial 16S ribosomal RNA". It matches the Rfam family "Bacterial small subunit ribosomal RNA", at positions 28 to 507 of the family's 1533-position model. The record is from RNAcentral.